UUUGAUCUAUUUCUUAAAUAUUAUGAAAACCUUUCCAAUAAUGGCGAGCGGAUUUCCCAGUUGACGGUUGCUUCCCCAGUUCCAUCCUUGCUCCGAAUCUUGCCUGUUUCAGUAUUGUUUUUUUGAAUCCUGGUCUCAUCUUUGUAUACUGCUACAACAAUGCUAGUACAAUAGACGAACACAAAGAAGAACAAAAUUGACAGGCUGAAUACAGAGGAACAUAGACACAUAAGAAGAAAACGGUAGAGAAGAAAAAAGAUCUCAGUAAAAGACUCCUGGGAAUAUAUUCCUCAUGUCAAUCCGAGAUUUAUACAGACACUGCUUCUGCUUUGUCUAUUUUGGUUGUGUUAGAUCCCUUAAACGGGAAUCCAUAUUAACGGAGAAAACAGAAGACCUUUUUUAAUUGUCAUGUGUGUGUUUUCCUCCUUGCAAGUUUUGAAAUAGCUACUGUCUAUUGAGUGCCCUUUACGAUAAUGUUAAUAGCCAACAGACAUCCAAUGUUUUCAAUGUGCCAGGCCCUGUUCCAUAUACACAACACAUACUGAGUCAUUUAAUCUUCACAACAACUUGUCAGGUGCACCUGUUAUCGUCUCCAUGUCACAGCUGGGAGUACAGAGGCACAGAGGGGCUGAAUCAUUUGCCUCAAGUCUCCCAACUAGCAAGAGGCAGGCCUGGGAUUCAGCUGCAGGCAAUGUGGCCCGAGUCCACAGUCUUCCCCCCUACAAGAAGUGCCUACACUACACUACAAGAUGUGUGUGUUUGGUGUUUACCUGCAUGCUCUCUCCUAAUCAUAGGUGAAUUUCACUGAAGAAAUGGUUACCUUCUGCUUCCCCUAAAUCAAAUCAUGUUUUUUUUUUUAAAUUUAAAAACUUAGGAGAACAUUUUUCCACAUUAUUGUUCCUAAAAUUUGAGGACUUUCUCCUCAUCACUCUCCUUUUCUUCCUUAAUUUACCUGGUGUAAAUGAGCACAGCUCUAGUAAUGUGUGAUGCUAGUUGGCUGGAAGUGGUUGGAGAAUCUGGUCUGGUGUAUCAUGGGUAUUUGUUCAAUGGUAACAAGCAAAACGAUAGGCUUCCCCCACCAUUUAUUGAGUUGUAAACGAAUAGGCUGAUAGAAAUAAAAACUACAGUUUCCCCUUCCUUUGCACCUCUUUACAAGUGUCUAUCAUUUGGGGCUACCAAACUCUAAGAAGCUUUUCCAAUAUUUCUUCCUUUGAUUUGGAAGGUUCAAAGAAACUUUUGAGUUAUUUCUGAGACAGGUAAAGCUUAUCAUCUCCGAUGGGCAAUUCUUUCCUCUGGGACCUUCAUCUUCUUGUGAUCAAGAGAGGCAAUGUAGCCUUGUGAUUAGAAAAUGGCUCCGGAGCUUGACUCUUAGGUCUUGAGUCUUAGCCCCACCACUUUAGAUAAGCUCCUUAACUUUUCUUUACCUCAAUUUUCUCAUCUGUAAAGUGGGAUGAUAAUAGCACCUACUUCACACUUUAGUCAUUUUUUGAUAAACCAAAAAAGUCAACGUUUGUUAAGUAUUCAGAAUGGCACCUAGCAUAUAGUAAGCCCUCCUAAUUAGCACCUCAUUAGGGGCUCUGUGAUUUUAAAUUAAGGCAGCAAAGCUCUGCAAAUAUAACGAGGGGUUUUUACAGUCAACUUAGAAGUUCACAUCUCCUCUCCUUGAAGUUAGUGAUGAGAAGGUUCAAAUCCAUGUUUAGAAUCUAUUACGCUAGUUCCUCAGAAGAUAUUUUCAAAAUAACAAUGGGACAUAGUUUAAGAAAAAAACAAACUACUGGAAAAAACACAAGGUAUAAAAAUGUCCUUGCUGGGAAGUCUGACAGAAAUAACUGUUGAGAAAUCUUCCACUGAGAGCCUUGCAGCAGGAAGGUUUGCUGUCUCUGCACGUCCAGGAUGGAGGCGAGCUCGGUGGGCAGAGACUUCACGGAACUCUGAGAUUCCACCGACAACUAUUUUUUAGAGCAUAGUUUGAAACACUGAAAACUUGUGACUCUUUCAGCAUUGUUCUGUUUAGAAUUACCCUUGCUGAAGUGAAUCAAGUUAUUAUUGGUUUAGUAGCAAGCCAAGCAGGGUGCUGAUUCACUGCUUAAUAAGAAUGUUCCCUGAAUUAUAUUUAGUCAGAAUGGCAUGAAGCCAAGGGGAGCAGUUUCUUUUAUGUGAAGACUUUGAUUUUGCUUUACUUUUUAAAUGGCAUUGCUCCCCACUCCCAGCCCAGGAAGAUCACCUAUUCAUCCUGAAAUAAGAAAAUGAAAGAAUUUGAGGAACUCAUACAAAAAUCAGUGUCAAAUCCAUCUUCUUUACAUAUAAAACAGAUGCUUCUUUUUCAGAGACUGGUUUUACUUCCAACACAUGAUCGUAGCAUCUGAUUUUAUGAGCAAUCUUAUGAAAGGAGUGGGGUUUUUCUAAUAUCAACUGAUGUGAUCAAAGGCAUCUACAAAGCAUGUACAGAGUAGGCUCUAGGUGAAUAGUUUGGUGAACUCACAGUUAGGCCUCAGGGAGUGGGAUCCCGGGGUCUAAAGAGACUGCGGGCACCAUGUGGUACUGAAGGGAGAGCCCAGGCUUGGAUGUCAGACAAAUAUUUAGGUCCAACCCCAGCCCAUUACCUAUAAGCUUAACGAUUAUUGGACGAGUUGUUUAGCUUCUCUGAGCUUCAGAGACCUCGUCUGUAAAAUGGGAAUAAUAGUACCUUCCCUUUAGGGUAAUCCUGAGGAGUGAAUGAAAUCACAGUAUAACUGGGUAAGAGUGUGGGUCCAGAUGGAAUCCAGGGUCCACUACUUAACACCGUGAGAUCUUGGGCAAGUUAUUCAGCCUCUUUGUGCCUCAGAAUCCCAACUAUACUAUAAACUGGGGAUGAGGAUGGUACCUAUCUCAUAAGGACUGAUUAGAAGAGAGAAUCUAUGGUGGUUACUAGAGGCAUGGGGCGGGGUGGGGGGUGCAAAAUGGGUGAAGGUGGUCAAAAGGUAAAGACUUCCAGCUAUCAGGUAAAUAAGUCCUGGGGACGUAUGGACAGCGUGAGGACUACAAUUAACAAUACCGUAUUGGAUAUUUGAAAGUUACUAAGAGAGUAGAUCUUAAAAGUUCUCAUUGCAAGAAAAACAAAUUUGAAACUAUGAUUGGUGAUGCAUGUGGACUAGACUUAUUGUGGUCAUCAUUUUGCAAUAUGUACUAGUACCGAAUCAUUAUGUUGCACACCUGGAACUAAUAGAAUGUUAUAUAUCAGUUAUAGCUCACAAAAGAAAAGGAGAUAAUCUAUUAAAGACACUCGACAUAAUUAAGUAUCCAAAGUUUGUGCUCGGUUAAUGCUAGCUAUUGUUAUAACUUAUGGAAAGGAUUUAACACAGUUCCUGGCAAAUAGUAGAAACUUCAUACAUCAAUCCCCCACCUCCUGCCCUCUUCCUCAGGCCUCACGAGGUGUUUGAGUGGCUACCAUAGCUUCCAUCCCCAUCAUUCGUCCUGACUUGGACUGUGAUGCUUGUCUCAGGGCCUUUGGAUGGUCUUGAAAACAGAUUAUUCCACCAAAUAAAGAAAAUGAAGAUUCCCUGAGUGCUAAAAUGUCUCCUGAAGAACAAAUAAAAAACCACUUUGCUUUUUGAUAUUUACUUCCAAGAAGAAAAAUGUUCUUCCUAAAAUGUGCAUUUCUUUUCAACUUAGAGCUAACUGCCAUCCCUUGGUUUUUGGUUUUUUUCCAUGAACAAACCAGUAAGAGUUAUCAAGGAGCUCAAGAAGUAGGGGCUGUUAAAGCAGGAUUCCUCCAUGUACAUUUGAACGUUAUUAUUAUUUUGAUGAUUAUUAUCAUUAUCAGAUAGAGGAAGGAAGGUAGGCUGGGAAGUAGGUCCUUGUGAUGAUUUUUAUUCGGGACCCUGAAUGUAUAUUUCACCAGUCAUAAAGCACAUAGUUUAGAUAAACAUGUCAAGAAUGAGGUAAACAGAGGUAAACAUGAGGAGCUUUACAUUAGAACCAAAAAAUGAAAAUGUAAGAAAUUCUGUGUAUCAAUAACUAAAAAUUAUUUAAACUACAGGACUCUGUAGAAGCCUAACUUUUCUCUUUAUACUUGAGAUAUACAAUAUUAGCUGGGAAACCUCCGAUCCAAUCAGGAGUCUGAGAAACGUCGGAUAGAAUUUGAUAUUUUUAAAUUAAAUUUCUCUUUAUUCAAUUGCCUCUGAGUAGAAAGAUCUAUGAUUUCCAAGUGCCAAAUGAUAAUUUAGUGUACGAAUGUACAUACCACAGAGAUUAAUUUUUUAAGAAUUUAAGAAACUGGCUGCACCGGAUAACAUCAAGGAAAGGAGAGUUCUGAUGUGGGGCCUCCUCCAAAAGACUGGUUUUUAUUGGUCUGAUGCUCCAUAGGAUGGCCUGUAAUUUUUGUACUUUAUUUUUUAAACUAGAGUGGGAGAAAUGGAGACUGACCUCUUUUAGCAAUUUUGUGGGGCGUUUGGGUCCUGUGGGAAUUUACUAGCUUGCUUUAUGGCCCUCAGCCAACCCUGGUGGGAAGUCUAGAGAAGAAUUCAAUUCUGCUCAUUCCCAGAAUACUUGUUGACAAGCUCAGCAGCACUGAAGUGUUACACGAGUCUCUGUGUCCCCCAGAGUCCAGCGAUAAAGGGACAUGAGACCAGCGAGGGUCAGUGUUUCCGGGAAUAUAAUGUUGGUUCUCAGAAUUUACAUAUUUUUCUCAUGAAACUUUAACAAUUUUUAAAACAAACUCCACCACUCUGAUCUUAGGAGGGAAUGAGCAGGCAGCCCACUGCUUCCCUCUGGAAGUAUUUUAAGCAUUGAGCUUUUCAGAAAACAAUCACUUCUUUUUGAUGACUGUGACUUCAAAUACCCUUCCUGCCAGGCCAGUGGUGACUCAUAAAACAGCCGCUGAUUUCAGGAACUCACCAGUAGAUUAUGGGUGCUUGCAGCUUCUCCGAAUGAUAACUGGAUGAAAUGAUACACAGCGAGGGGCUUUGUGUGAAAGAUUAAAUCCAAACUCAGACACUUACAGCCACGUGUCCUGUGCUCUCAAGAGGGUUUACUGUGAAGGUGCCGCGGAGUCAGUGUCUGAUGGGCUGUCAGCAGCACAGUGACCUUGAAAGUUCUCUAACCGAGUCACUGCAAAUAGGACAACGGGCCCACGACUGUGAGUCUACCCCCUUUAAAUGUAGAUCAUUUGUUUUGCACAUCUCAGAUAUGACUCUUGCGUCCAAGCCGGAAUUUAAGCCGUGUACUAAUACUCAACUGCCCUACCAGCCCAAUUCUUGAGAGGGAACGGUACCAUCUAGAAGAGUUAAGAACCCUGGCUUACUUUAAAGAACUAUUUGUAACACACAUCAGUUUCCUACAGUUAAAACGAGCUGCUUCUUGUGAAGAUUAAAUGAGAUACGUGUUAUCAUUAACAGUCACGCUAGAUAUAUUUUGAAGUACAAACUUUUACAUGCUCCAGAAUGAAAAGCCAAAUGUGUCUUAAAAACAUAUUCCUAAAAACUGAUGCUUUAUACUAUCAACAAACAGUCAAAAUGCAGAAACAGUGUGAUUCUUCCUCUCUCAAAACAAUGUGUUCAUUAUUGAAAUAUUAGAAAUAAAAUGGUAAAUGUUCUAAGAUUAAAGUGGCAACGCUCAGAUUCCCCAUCUUACCAGUUCUGUGUUCAGUCUGCCCGUCUAUAAAACUGGGAGGAAUAUGCUUUACCUACGUUUACCUUUCCUCCUACAAGAUCUAGUGCUGUGCAGACUCGCUAUGGGACAACAUUCCGGGAAGAGAGGUCUGAGAUAUUAUUAAGGCAAAACUCGUGAAAAGAAAUUUGCAUAAGGUCCUGCAGUCAGUCAGUGACUGCGAUUACAUUUUAUUUUGCAGUCCAGUGCCUGUAAACCAUGCAGUGGCUUCCUUGGGAUAACGUAUAGAAGGCACCUAAUGUAUAUAAGGCAUACGCACUUAGAAGAUGAUUGUUGCUAUUGUGUUGAUGAUGAAAACUUGACUUCAUAGGUGCUCUGCCUAGAAAUCAAGCUGACAAAGGACAAGGGAAAAGGCAAGGUGCUAAAAACUAAACAAAAACUGCCUCCUCGCGCCCCACAACCAGCCAACCCGCCAAUCAAACAUCUGCAACCACCAGAGAGCAAACAACACCCAGAGGGCAAAGGAUGCCUAGUGGGAAGGAAGCUGAGGUCAUGAAUUCCAAAUUUCCCACCUGCCACGCUGACAUCAUUUCCAUAAUUCCAACCUGCAACAUGGUACACGCAGCUUAUUCUGCGUGUGUUUCCAGGGGGCUCCCUGGUUAGGGAGAAGGGGCAAAAGAACUGCCUCUUACUCCAGGGAGCUGGCUUAGUCCUACUCCUUCCCACUCCCCCAUCCCUCAGGGUGAGGUUACACUCUGUUGUGGGUAUAGUCUUGGAGGAUUCCCACCCCUCUCCCGUAAUGUGGGACGGUUUGAGAUGAGACCUAUACUCCAGUUCCCAGUUCAAGUUGUGAAUGCUUAGACUGCAUGCCUGGCUUGUUUCUUAGAAGCUUUUGGGGAACCCAUGACAGUCACAUUCGUGUUAGUUUCGUCUUUAGUCAUGAACUACAAACAGCGGCUCUGCUAAGAUCGCCACCUGUCCAACAGGAAACAGACCGAAAACACUCCUCAUUCCUACAUACCACGGACCACCGGACAACUGGGGAUACUUGUGGGUCAUUACCAUCCUAGGCUACUUUUGAACCAAUGAUCUCAAACUGACUACCUUGUGUUCUAUUAUCUUUCCUCUAAUUCAUGCCGUUCUUUAAAUGCUCUGUUAAGAAUGCAAAGUUAUAAAAUGAUCUCCUUUCCUGCUUCACCUUAAGAAGCCUUUUUUGAUUGUUCAAUUAGAAAAGAAUGCAAAAUGCACAGCAUUCGACAGACUUCCUUUGCAGAGAAUAAGUAACACCAAACAAUAGUAUUAUACAAUGGCUAGAUUGCUUUUUCCUUUAUCCCGUAUUAAUCUUCCUAAUUGAUUUCCCAAAAAGGCAAAUAAGAGAGCGGGCUACAUCCUGUGGUUGUAACUUCUGGGGAAACUGCCACCAAAGGCAAUGGAAGAUUUUCCAGAGAAAAAGCAGAAGAAUUGGUCCUAUUGUUCUGUAGCUGACUUAAUUUUCCUCUGUGUGUGAUGUCUUAGAAAUACCUACGGCUUGUGGUUUUAAAUGUAUGGAGAAAUGGAUAUGCUCACAAAAAGGAAAUUCAGAUGCUUUAGGAGUGAUAUAAAAGAAAUAUCAGAGAAACGACUCAGGUCAGAAUAGCUCAUAGAGGGAACUUUUUUUUUUUUAAAUACAUACAUUGAACAGAUAAAGAAGAAAGUAAUAUUUUAAUUGGAUAGUGAAAAAUAUAGCAGAUUGACAGUGACAGCAGAAAAAGAACAGGAAUACAGAUAUUUUCAGAGAAUUAAAAUGGUACCAUGUACUCUCAAACCAGGCUAGUUUUUACGAGAGGUCUCUAAACGUAUCGAGUAGAUGGUUUUCCUUGGAGCUGUCAAAAAUGCUUUGUGGUUCUCUACAUUAAUUCACGUUGAAUAUUUUCCAUGGUUGGUCAGACUCGGAUUUAAAAUAGAUAUGAGAAAGGUCUUCAGGUUUACUGUCAGUAACAUUAUUAACUUCAUAGCCAGCUGGAUGACGGCAUGGUGUGUGACCAGUCCAAAUUUACAAGGUAACCUUGCCUGAAUCCUCCUGGUCCAUCAAAUAUAAAUAAUAAAGUGAAGGUGCGAGAAUAGAAUUGCAAAGAACAGUGGGAGAAGCAGUUGUCAGGAAGCAAAACAAACACAAGAAAAAAAAUCUGUGAGGUCACUCAGAAAUGAUGCUAAUGAUUGUGUGUUCUCACCCUACGGCCUCCAUAUACAUGGGGUUCCUCGUGCUUCACAAUCAGCCCCUGUAGUCAGUAACCCUUCACACCCCAGUCGUGGUUUCCCAAGGAAAAA
Equus quagga is the source of this 7893-nucleotide long non-coding RNA. RefSeq lists it as uncharacterized. NCBI's taxonomy places the organism in Eukaryota, Metazoa, Chordata, Mammalia, Perissodactyla, Equidae. The transcript has 2 exons. The record is from RefSeq and is a predicted model, not a curated record.